UGCGAGAUCGUCUAAUGGUAGGACAUCGCCCUCUGGAGGCGGUUAUCUUGGUUCGAAUCCAGGUCUCGCAGCCG
This 74-nucleotide transfer RNA is filed under the name Candidatus Campbelliibacteriota bacterium. RNAcentral's name for it is "tRNA-Gln". It matches the Rfam family "tRNA". From Rfam's summary of the family: Transfer RNA (tRNA) molecules are approximately 80 nucleotides in length. Their secondary structure includes four short double-helical elements and three loops (D, anti-codon, and T loops). Lineage: Bacteria; Candidatus Campbelliibacteriota. The record is from RNAcentral. RNAcentral also lists the same sequence under 1 other name.